AUCCAAACAAGAGUUCUGAGCUCAUUCCUGAUUGUGAGAAAUCAACAUGAAGUUCUGUAUAGCAGCUCUGCUUAUAGCAGCUUGUCUGUUUGUGCCCUCUAUACGGGCAAAACCUGGGAUCUGCCCAAGAGAAGUGGAGGGCUUUAUGGAAAUGCGGCGUAGACCUCCAUGUCGCUAUGACUUUCAAUGCCCCGGAGAUGAAAAAUGCUGUUUUUAUGAACGUGGAUCCCUCUGC
Molecule: long non-coding RNA, 235 nt
Organism: Austrofundulus limnaeus
Lineage: Eukaryota; Metazoa; Chordata; Actinopteri; Cyprinodontiformes; Rivulidae
Exons: 2
Source: RefSeq, a predicted model, not a curated record